RNAcentral lists this non-coding RNA (226 nucleotides) under Sphingobium sp. The record is from RNAcentral. Lineage: Bacteria; Pseudomonadati; Pseudomonadota; Alphaproteobacteria; Sphingomonadales; Sphingobiaceae.
CGGUUCAACGAUCGCGCCGGUGUCCCGCAAGGGACUUAAAUGGGAACGCGGUGCGGGAGCCUUGCUCCCUAAUCCGUGGCUGUCCCUGCAACUGUGAGCGGCGAGCGAGGCAUGGACAGGCCGGACCUUUGCCAAGGGACGGCCAAGCCACUGGAGCGAUCCGGGAAGGCCCAUGCCAAAGCUAUGACCCGCAAGCCAGGAGACCUGCCGGAGCAAAGGUCGCUCU